This 76-nucleotide non-coding RNA is filed under the name Candidatus Parcubacteria bacterium. Lineage: Bacteria; Candidatus Parcubacteria. The record is from RNAcentral.
UGUGGCUAUCAAUAUUCGGGUACCCAUAUAGGGUAUAAUAGGGAAGCCGGUGAAAAACCGGCGCGGCCCCGCCACU